Molecule: long non-coding RNA, 246 nt
Organism: Passer domesticus (house sparrow)
Lineage: Eukaryota; Metazoa; Chordata; Aves; Passeriformes; Passeridae
Exons: 3
Source: RefSeq, a predicted model, not a curated record
CCUCACUGUCUGCGUCACUUUGGAUAGCUGCUGACCUGGCUGCUCACCUUGCACCAAUGGCUUGCCUUCUUCUACCCACUAAAGCAAGCAGUAAACCAAAACUCAUCAACAUUAUAGUAUCUUCAUAGUGGCCCAUGUGGAAACAUGAACUUCUGGAACACCCAGGUCCAAAUCUGCUCUUGUCUACCUCUCAAGUCUCAAAGCCACUAGCUAUGAUUUAUUGUGUUUUCCCAUUGGAUAUCAGAG